AGAUGUCUAUAAGAGAGAGUUUUACUGAAUUUGCAUGGUGAUUAUUUAGCUCUCAAUGCAGACAUAGUCCUCGUUCUUACCCUCUCGUCGCUCUUCUCCAUGUGAUCCCUAACCAGUCUGUCCCCAACACUUUCUCCAGAACUUGUCAGCCUUGCUUGCCUUCUGCCUCUGUUUCUUUCUCCUGGGCCCCCACUGUCCCUUGCACUGGUU
This is a long non-coding RNA of Prionailurus viverrinus (fishing cat), 210 nucleotides long. RefSeq lists it as uncharacterized. NCBI's taxonomy places the organism in Eukaryota, Metazoa, Chordata, Mammalia, Carnivora, Felidae. The record is from RefSeq and is a predicted model, not a curated record. The transcript has 3 exons.